GUGCCCUUGGCCGAUCGGGAAGGUGCCUGCCUUCCAAGCAGGCGAGGUGGGUUCGAUUCCCACAGGGCACU
Molecule: transfer RNA, 71 nt
Filed under: Planctomycetaceae bacterium SCGC AG-212-F19
Lineage: Bacteria; Pseudomonadati; Planctomycetota; Planctomycetia; Planctomycetales; Planctomycetaceae
Rfam family: tRNA
About the family: Transfer RNA (tRNA) molecules are approximately 80 nucleotides in length. Their secondary structure includes four short double-helical elements and three loops (D, anti-codon, and T loops).
Source: Rfam by way of RNAcentral